CCGGAUGUGGAUUGGCAGGGGUGCAGAGAUGGGGAUGGAGGGGUCUUUAAAUUCUCUCCCUGGGCCUACAAGUUCUUCAACGGUGGGCAAGUCCUUUCAGCUCUCAGAGUCUUAAUUAAUCCCUCUUUCUCCUUGCAUUUUGAGACAAAAUAAUUUAUUCCAGGGUGCCCCUGGGCAAGCUUGGGGGGUGGUGGGGUGGGGGAGCCGAGGGAGUUAAGAAAUUAUAUUUAUGGGACAUUUUUUCAUCAGUAACUCACUGCACUUUGACAGUAUUGAAUAAGAGAAGGUGUGUGGUAUAUUGGAAGGAGUGCUGGAUUUGGAGUAGGGAGACCUGGGUUUGAAUCCUGGCUGCAAUAAAGAAGGAAAAAGUGUGUUAGCUCUAUGCCCAAAGUAACCAAUCCAGAAAGGUUUUCAUUUUUAAAAUUCAGUCCUGUACACACACACACACACACACACACACACACACACACACACACACCCCAUCAAGUCCUCUGCCCUGAUUUUGGGUUGAAAAAAUGAGAUCAUUUUAUCCAUUCCCUUACCCCAGGAAAAAGUUCUUCACCUAAUUGAAGGUGAGUUGGGUCUCUCUUGGAAAUCUACUUUUUCAGCAACAAAUAUUUAAUAUUUUUAAAUAGUUCUUUGUCCUAGGCUUCCUCCUACCACUUUGGAAGUUGUUGCAAUUUGGAGAUUUAUUGAACAGAUUUUUUUUUUAAAUUUACAUUGCAGAUAGAUAGUCUUCCACCAUCUUUAUCAAAUGUGACUUUGGGUAGUGAUGAAGUUUUGGGAUCCAGUUUCCAACAAUCAUCAAAUGCUUCUUUAGCAUCUCAAGACCCUUUUGAAGUAGCUGAGAGAUACUUGGAAAGGCACAACAUUAUUCAAAUAUUCCAGCGGGUCACUGAAAACUUAAUAUAUGAACAGCCUGAAGAUCCUUUGUAUUUUUUGCUGUGGCAGAUUCAGGAAAUAAUCAGAGAGAGGGAUCAAAACUAAAACCUGCAAAUAAAGAACUUUUCCUCAUUCUCA
Molecule: long non-coding RNA, 1020 nt
Filed under: Phascolarctos cinereus (koala)
Lineage: Eukaryota; Metazoa; Chordata; Mammalia; Diprotodontia; Phascolarctidae
Description: lncRNA (ENSPCIG00000034470.1)
Source: RNAcentral